This is a long non-coding RNA of Rhineura floridana, 1623 nucleotides long. RefSeq lists it as uncharacterized. The transcript has 6 exons. Lineage: Eukaryota; Metazoa; Chordata; Lepidosauria; Squamata; Rhineuridae. The record is from RefSeq and is a predicted model, not a curated record.
GUAAAAACCAAACCCUGGUGUGCUCACCCGCUGUUCAGUGUCUACUGUUAGAAAGGACAAGACUCAAUUCUGUCUGCAAGUAGUGUUGCUUUCCUGGAAGACUUUCCCUAUUAUCUCAAAUAGGGGAGGUCAAUGGUUUCUUAGUAAGCCCUUUAUGCAUGCUAAGUAUUACUUCAAAUGUAGAGCCCCAACAGUGGAAACAGCCCCAGGUGGUAAGCAUUGCCUCAAAUCAAACUGUGAGAAAAUCCCAGGCAGGUGGAGCUGUUCUUCUCUGUUCAGCAGAAGUAACAGAAGAACCUGCAUCUAUCAAUAUUUGUCUGCAUAUGAAACUACUAAAGCCAAAGCUCUCUGGGCGGUUUACAACAAUUAAUUAUCCUGCAUGAACAGAAAGGCCAACCUAGAGGAUACACAGGAGAUAGGAGUAACAUGAAUUCUCUCUCUCCACAAAAUUGGCUUUUGAAGCAGGAACAAACAGGAACACCUUUCACUCUGAUUGGCUCCAAUCAGCAGGAAAGAACAAGGAAAAACUUCAGUUUGAUGACAGUUUGAAAACAUCCACUUCACUUUGAUGACCAUGGCUAACUUGCAACUGGAGCCACUGGGGGAGAUGGUUCUACGUUCUAAAAUGGAAAUGUUAGGUUUCGCAAGAAACAGUUUCUCCCCAUUCACCGAAUAAGAGCACUGUGAAAAAGCUGGCUGAAGGUCCUUACAAUGCUUUUAGACCAGACUGCACUGUGGAUGGUUGCAUGAUUCUGCCCCGUGUUCCUAUGCCAGCAAUCCCAGCCGAGUCACUUUGGCAGAGAGGAAUGAGUGGAUGAUGAAGACAAUGGUUUUGGGGCAGGAAUGAAGAUCUAGUUGCUGCAAUGAAGGAAAACAUUGACAACAAUCAGUGGUUGGUUCAAAGCAUUUCACCACACUAUAUUCCUGGAAAAUUGACCCUUCUCUAUAGAUGAUUGUAAAAUAAAGAGUUAAGAACUACAAAAAGUAGAAGAAUUGGACAAAUCCAUUAAUCAUCCACCACACAACCCCAGAGAAGAAGUGGCUGCACCCAACAUAUUAGAUGAUGGACUGAUACAGUUCCUUCUCCAUCAUAUAAAAAGAAAGUUCAACAUAGAUUAGUGAUCAUAAUAGAUGCUAUGCUAAGUUUUACUAGGAGUAGACUCAUCAAAAUUAAUGAGCCUAAGUUAGUCAUGCGCAUUAAUUUCAAUGGGUCUACUCUGAGUAAGCAAUGGCUAAAACCCAUAAUGAAGGGUUAAGCACUGGGAGAAAAAAGAGAGAAUGUGCUAUUGGGGGAACUUGCCACUGAGUACCAGACAGACAGCAAUAAUAAAAGACCAAGGACAUUGAACUGUGUAUAAUUCUUUAUCCAUGCCUACUUCAAGACUCUGCAUAUUGCUCUGACCUUAAGAGAAAAAAACUGACCUUUAACCCUGUACUUGUAAUACCUUAUGCAAAUUAAGGAUAUUUGCGUACACUAACUUGCUUUGCAACCCUGUUUUUAUGUUCAUUUUAUCAAAAUAGGAAUAGUGAUGGAGCAGAGGCUGCCAUGUUUUCUCUCAUUCUAUCAUGCAAAAUCUGUUUUUAAGAUGUUUUAGAGUGUUUUUAGUGUUUUGUUUGCCACCC